AGAGUUUGAUCAUGGCUCAGGACGAACGCUGGCGGCGUGCCUAACACAUGCAAGUCGAACGGAGAUAUGCGAACGAGGCCUUCGGGCGGAGAUUGCAUAUUUUAGUGGCGGACGGGCGAGUAACGCGUGAGCAACCUGCCCUUCAGAGGGGGAUAACGGCUGGAAACGGCCGCUAAUACCGCAUGACAUAUACACAAGGCAUCUUGAGUAUAUCAAAGGAGGAAUCCGCUGAAGGAUGGGCUCGCGUCCGAUUAGCUGGUUGGUGAGGUAACGGCUCACCAAGGCGACGAUCGGUAGCCGAACUGAGAGGUUGAUCGGCCGCAUUGGGACUGAGACACGGCCCAGACUCCUACGGGAGGCAGCAGUGGGGGAUAUUGCACAAUGGAGGAAACUCUGAUGCAGCGACGCCGCGUGGGGGAAGAAGGUCUUCGGAUUGUAAACCUCAGUAGUCAGGGAAGAAGCAAGUGACGGUACCUGAAGAGUAAGCUCCGGCUAACUACGUGCCAGCAGCCGCGGUAAU
RNAcentral lists this ribosomal RNA (520 nucleotides) under uncultured bacterium. RNAcentral's name for it is "bacterial SSU rRNA". It matches the Rfam family "Bacterial small subunit ribosomal RNA", at positions 8 to 524 of the family's 1533-position model. The record is from RNAcentral.